This 29-nucleotide non-coding RNA is filed under the name Homo sapiens (human). The record is from RNAcentral. Lineage: Eukaryota; Metazoa; Chordata; Mammalia; Primates; Hominidae.
UAUGUUCGCCCUCUGGCUGUUGAGAGUGA